GUGGGGAAUAUUGGACAAUGGGCGAAAGCCUGAUCCAGCCAUGCCGCGUGUGUGAAGAAGGUCUUCGGAUUGUAAAGCACUUUAAGUUGGGAGGAAGGGCAGUAAGUUAAUACCUUGCUGUUUUGACGUUACCAACAGAAUAAGCACCGGCUAACUUCGUGCCAGCAGCCGCGGUAAUACGAAGGGUGCAAGCGUUAAUCGGAAUUACUGGGCGUAAAGCGCGCGUAGGUGGUUCAGCAAGUUGGAGGUGAAAUCCCCGGGCUCAACCUGGGAACUGCCUCCAAAACUACUGAGCUAGAGUACGGUAGAGGGUAGUGGAAUUUCCUGUGUAGCGGUGAAAUGCGUAGAUAUAGGAAGGAACACCAGUGGCGAAGGCGACUACCUGGACUGAUACUGACACUGAGGUGCGAAAGCGUGGGGAGCAAACAGGAUUAGAUACCCGAGUAGUC
RNAcentral lists this ribosomal RNA (449 nucleotides) under uncultured bacterium. RNAcentral's name for it is "partial 16S ribosomal RNA". It matches the Rfam family "Bacterial small subunit ribosomal RNA", at positions 354 to 795 of the family's 1533-position model. The record is from RNAcentral.